GUAGGGGCCAAGCGUUAUCCGGAUUUAUUGGGGCGUAAAGAGCUCGUAGGCGGCUAGGCAAGUCGGUCGUGAAAGUCCGAGGCUCAACCUCGGGAAUGCCGGGUCGAAACUGCCAUGGCUAGGGUUCGGUAGAGGAGAGUGGAAUUCUCGGUGUAGCGGUGAAAUGCGCAGAUAUCGAGAGGAACGCCAGUAGCGAAGGCGGCUCUCUGGGCCGAUACCGACGCUGAGGAGCGAAAGCGUGGGGAGCAAACAGGAUUAGAUACCCUGGUAGUCCACGCCGUAAACGGUGAUCACUAGGUGUGGCGGACUCAUUGACGUCUGCUGUGCCGGCGCUAACGCAUUAAGUGAUCCGCCUGGGGAGUACGGCCGCAAGGCUA
RNAcentral lists this ribosomal RNA (377 nucleotides) under uncultured organism. RNAcentral's name for it is "partial 16S ribosomal RNA". It matches the Rfam family "Bacterial small subunit ribosomal RNA", at positions 527 to 896 of the family's 1533-position model. The record is from RNAcentral.